Molecule: long non-coding RNA, 269 nt
Organism: Sinocyclocheilus grahami
Lineage: Eukaryota; Metazoa; Chordata; Actinopteri; Cypriniformes; Cyprinidae
Exons: 4
Source: RefSeq, a predicted model, not a curated record
GAGGUAUAUGGAGAGUGCUGAAAACAACAAGAAGGGUAAAAUACUACAGUGAUCAUGUGACAGAAUGUAGAAGCAGCUAUCUACAGCAAUCAAGACAAAGUCACAUACUAUGUUUCUGCAGAUGAAGAUUAUCUUAACCCAGAUGCAAUCGGGGAAGAGGAAGUGGCAGAGCCACAGGAACAUUACAACACCCUACAACUGCCUAGCAAUUUGACAGAGACGGAUGGAGAGUUGUAUGAGGAUAUAGAGGGGUGUUUAUAUGCUCAACC